UCCCCGUUCUCCUGGGCAGUCUCUCCAGAGUUCUCGGCUUGACCCGUUAGUAACUGAAGACAGGGGUUGCGCUCGUUGCGGGACUUAACCCAACACCUCACGGCACGAGCUGACGACAACCAUGCAGCACCUCGGCUGGCUCCCUUGCGGGUCAUCCCGUGUUUCCACAGGACUAACACCAGUCGUUCGAGCCCAGGUAAGGUUUUUCGCGUAGCGUCGAAUUAAACCACAUGCUCCACCGCUUGUGCGGGUCCCCGUCAAUUCCUUUGAGUUUUAACCUUGCGGCCGUACUCCCCAGGCGGGACACUUAAUGCGUUAGCGUCGGCACGGAAGGGGUUGAUAGAGUCCCACACCUAGUGCCCAACGUUUACGGCGUGGACUAC
Molecule: unclassified non-coding RNA, 383 nt
Filed under: uncultured bacterium
Lineage: Bacteria
Description: contains 16S-23S intergenic spacer region
Source: RNAcentral